This 325-nucleotide long non-coding RNA is filed under the name Malus domestica (apple). Its description in RNAcentral is "long non-coding RNA (MDOM_LNC008381)". The record is from RNAcentral. Lineage: Eukaryota; Viridiplantae; Streptophyta; Magnoliopsida; Rosales; Rosaceae.
AAGCCUUCCCUUGCCUCUCCUUACAUAUCUAAACCUUCCCCAUCCAUUCCUCCAUAUAACCAACCAUUCAACCACCAUAACCACCUUGUGUCGCCACCAUUGAAGGAGAGGAGAGGUCAGAGGCAAAGGGGCUUAGAGUGAGAAAAGGCAAGGAGAAACUGACGGGAGCAACACAGAGAGCAAAGUUUCACUCCAUUUUUCUUGGUUUUAUCUUCUCAAACCCAUGUUUUACUUUUGGUUUAAUUUGAUAAUAAUGUGUAACUAAAUUUAUUUUGGCUAGAGGUUAAUUCAAAGCCAUGAAUAUAUUUGUAAUAUGAAUUGAUUA